UACAGAGGGUGCAAGCGUUAAUCGGAAUUAUUGGGCGUAAAGCGCACGUAGGCGGCUUAGCAAGUCGGAAGUGAAAGCCCUCGGCUCAACCAAGGAAGUGCUUUCGAAACUGCUGAGCUUGAGUAGUUAAGAGGAUCGCGGAAUUCCCGGUGUAGAGGUGAAAUUCGUAGAUAUCGGGAGGAACACCAGUGGCGAAGGCGGCGAUCUGGGAACAUACUGACGCUGAGGUGCGGAAGCGUGGGGAGCAAACAGG
RNAcentral lists this ribosomal RNA (253 nucleotides) under uncultured bacterium. RNAcentral describes it as "partial 16S ribosomal RNA". It matches the Rfam family "Bacterial small subunit ribosomal RNA", at positions 524 to 776 of the family's 1533-position model. The record is from RNAcentral.